GUGGGGAAUCUUCGUCAAUGGGCGCAAGCCUGAACGAGCGACGCCGCGUGGAGGAUGAAGCCCUUCGGGGUGUAAACUCCUUUUAGGGGGAAAGAAUAAGGGUGGGAGGUAAUGCCCAUCCGAUGACGGUACCCCCAGAAUAAGAGACGGCUAACUCUGUGCCAGCAGCCGCGGUAAGACAGAGGUCUCGAGCGUUAUCCGGAAUCAUUGGGCGUGAAGGGCGUCUAGGCGGCUUCGUGUGUCACCUGUGAAAGUCCUCGGCUUAACCGGGGGAAGUCGGGUGAGACUACGUCGCUGGAGCCUCGGAGGGGGAGGCGGAACUUCCAGAGUAGCGGUGAAAUGCGCAGAUACUGGAAGGUACCUCGAUAGCGAAGGCAGCCUCCUGGCCGGGUGCUGACGCUGAAGCGCGAAAGCGUGGGGAGCAAACCGGAUUAGAAACCCUUGUAGUCC
RNAcentral lists this ribosomal RNA (450 nucleotides) under uncultured bacterium. RNAcentral's name for it is "bacterial SSU rRNA". It matches the Rfam family "Bacterial small subunit ribosomal RNA", at positions 354 to 796 of the family's 1533-position model. The record is from RNAcentral.